RNAcentral lists this ribosomal RNA (327 nucleotides) under Aname lorica. RNAcentral's name for it is "partial small subunit ribosomal RNA". The record is from RNAcentral. Lineage: Eukaryota; Metazoa; Arthropoda; Arachnida; Araneae; Anamidae.
UCUAAGCUAAAAAAGGUAAUACUUAUCAGGAAACCUAUACUCUUUGGCGGCCUUUUUUCUUAUUGAAGGAACUUGUUCAUUAAUCGAAAUUACCCGUUCGUUUUCUCUUUUAUUGUGUUUUUAUACCGUCGUCUUAAGAAUAUUGUUAAAUAUAUUAUUCUAUCCUGAACAUCUAAAUAAGUCAGAUCAAGGUGAAGCUUAUAUGAAAGACAUGGGUGAGUUAUGUCUAAGAACUACUAAGGGCCCCUACUUUAAAAAGAUGUAUAAAUUAAGAUUCGACAGUACCUUAUCUUCAAAAAAUUUCAGGGAAGAAGUAAAAAUAGGUGU